Molecule: ribosomal RNA, 1290 nt
Filed under: Staphylococcus aureus
Lineage: Bacteria; Bacillati; Bacillota; Bacilli; Caryophanales; Staphylococcaceae
Description: partial 23S ribosomal RNA
Rfam family: Bacterial large subunit ribosomal RNA
Source: RNAcentral
GCAUAUCAGAAGGCACACCCGGAGAACUGAAACAUCUUAGUACCCGGAGGAAGAGAAAGAAAAUUCGAUUCCCUUAGUAGCGGCGAGCGAAACGGGAAGAGCCCAAACCAACAAGCUUGCUUGUUGGGGUUGUAGGACACUCUAUACGGAGUUACAAAGGACGACAUUAGACGAAUCAUCUGGAAAGAUGAAUCAAAGAAGGUAAUAAUCCUGUAGUCGAAAAUGUUGUCUCUCUUGAGUGGAUCCUGAGUACGACGGAGCACGUGAAAUUCCGUCGGAAUCUGGGAGGACCAUCUCCUAAGGCUAAAUACUCUCUAGUGACCGAUAGUGAACCAGUACCGUGAGGGAAAGGUGAAAAGCACCCCGGAAGGGGAGUGAAAUAGAACCUGAAACCGUGUGCUUACAAGUAGUCAGAGCCCGUUAAUGGGUGAUGGCGUGCCUUUUGUAGAAUGAACCGGCGAGUUACGAUUUGAUGCAAGGUUAAGCAGUAAAUGUGGAGCCGUAGCGAAAGCGAGUCUGAAUAGGGCGUUUAGUAUUUGGUCGUAGACCCGAAACCAGGUGAUCUACCCUUGGUCAGGUUGAAGUUCAGGUAACACUGAAUGGAGGACCGAACCGACUUACGUUGAAAAGUGAGCGGAUGAACUGAGGGUAGCGGAGAAAUUCCAAUCGAACCUGGAGAUAGCUGGUUCUCUCCGAAAUAGCUUUAGGGCUAGCCUCAAGUGAUGAUUAUUGGAGGUAGAGCACUGUUUGGACGAGGGGCCCCUCUCGGGUUACCGAAUUCAGACAAACUCCGAAUGCCAAUUAAUUUAACUUGGGAGUCAGAACAUGGGUGAUAAGGUCCGUGUUCGAAAGGGAAACAGCCCAGACCACCAGCUAAGGUCCCAAAAUAUAUGUUAAGUGGAAAAGGAUGUGGCGUUGCCCAGACAACUAGGAUGUUGGCUUAGAAGCAGCCAUCAUUUAAAGAGUGCGUAAUAGCUCACUAGUCGAGUGACACUGCGCCGAAAAUGUACCGGGGCUAAACAUAUUACCGAAGCUGUGGAUUGUCCUUUGGACAAUGGUAGGAGAGCGUUCUAAGGGCGUUGAAGCAUGAUCGUAAGGACAUGUGGAGCGCUUAGAAGUGAGAAUGCCGGUGUGAGUAGCGAAAGACGGGUGAGAAUCCCGUCCACCGAUUGACUAAGGUUUCCAGAGGAAGGCUCGUCCGCUCUGGGUUAGUCGGGUCCUAAGCUGAGGCCGACAGGCGUAGGCGAUGGAUAACAGGUUGAUAUUCCUGUACCACCUAUAAUCGUUUUA